This 497-nucleotide ribosomal RNA is filed under the name uncultured bacterium. Its description in RNAcentral is "partial 16S ribosomal RNA". It matches the Rfam family "Bacterial small subunit ribosomal RNA", at positions 28 to 507 of the family's 1533-position model. The record is from RNAcentral.
GACGAACGCUGGCGGCGUGCCUAAUACAUGCAAGUUGAGCGCUGAAGGUUGGUACUUGUACCAACUGGAUGAGCAGCGAACGGGUGAGUAACGCGUGGGGAAUCUGCCUUUGAGCGGGGGACAACAUUUGGAAACGAAUGCCAAUACCGCAUAAAAACUUUAAACAAAAGUUUUAAGUUUGAAAGAUGCAAUUGCAUCACUCAAAGAUGAUCCCGCGUUGUAUUAGCUAGUUGGUGAGGUAAAGGCUCACCAAGGCGAUGAUACAUAGCCGACCUGAGAGGGUGAUCGGCCACAUUGGGACUGAGACACGGCCCAAACUCCUACGGGAGGCAGCAGUAGGGAAUCUUCGGCAAUGGACGAAAGUCUGACCGAGCAACGCCGCGUGAGUGAAGAAGGUUUUCGGAUCGUAAAACUCUGUUGGUAGAGAAGAACGUUGGUGAGAGUGGAAAGCUCAUCAAGUGACGGUAACUACCCAGAAAGGGACGGCUAACUACGUG